RNAcentral lists this ribosomal RNA (476 nucleotides) under uncultured bacterium. Its description in RNAcentral is "SSU rRNA". It matches the Rfam family "Bacterial small subunit ribosomal RNA", at positions 26 to 518 of the family's 1533-position model. The record is from RNAcentral.
AGGACGAACGCUGGCGGCGUGCUUAACACAUGCAAGUCGAGCGAGGCCCUUCCUUCGGGAAGGUGCCCUAGCGGCGAACGGGUGAGUAACACGUGGGCAACCUGCCCCUAGCACUGGGAUAAGCCCGGGAAACCGGGUCUAAUACCGGAUAUGACCUUCGAGGGCAUCCUUGAAGGUGUAAAGGAUUCUGGCUAGGGAUGGGCCCGCGGCCUAUCAGCUUGUUGGUGGGGUAAUGGCCUACCAAGGCGACGACGGGUAGCCGGCCUGAGAGGGCGACCGGCCACACUGGGACUGAGACACGGCCCAGACUCCUACGGGAGGCAGCAGUGGGGAAUCUUGCACAAUGGGCGAAAGCCUGAUGCAGCGACGCCGCGUGAGGGAUGACUGCCUUCGGGUUGUAAACCUCUUUCAGCAGGGACGAAGCGAAAGUGACGGUACCUGCAGAAGAGCACCGGCAACUACGUGCCAGCAGCCGC